AAAAACCAAGUGUCAGGGCAAUUUCAAUACUGAAUCCAGAACGGUGAAUAUUGAUGCUUAUCAAUUAAGUACCAUCGGAUGUGCAAGACAGUCCUGUAUUAGUUGGCCUGUUCAGGAUUAGCUCAUAGCCCCUGACGACCAAACCUGCUUAGGGUAAUUGCACAAGUGAUUGGCAAUCGAAGUUUAAAGAAAGAAUCAAAG
Armigeres subalbatus is the source of this 201-nucleotide long non-coding RNA. RefSeq lists it as uncharacterized. The record is from RefSeq and is a predicted model, not a curated record. The transcript has 3 exons. Lineage: Eukaryota; Metazoa; Arthropoda; Insecta; Diptera; Culicidae.